CCCUUAGAUGUCCUGGGCCGCACGCGUGCUACACUGACACUUACACCGAGUUUUUCCGGCCCCGAGAGGUGGCUGGUAAUCAGUAAUAGGUGUCGUGAUGGGGAUAGAUCUUUGGAAUUAUUGAUCUUGAACGAGGAAUGCCUAGUAAUCGUAGGUCAUCAGCCUGCGAUGAUUACGUCCCUGCCCUUUGUACGCACCGCCCGUCGCUCCUACCGAUUUCGAGUGGUCCGGUGAACCUUUCGGACAGAGAGAGUCUCGUACAAUCUCUGAAAGUCAAGUAAACCACAUCACUUAGAGGAAGGAGAAGUCGUAACA
This 315-nucleotide ribosomal RNA is filed under the name uncultured eukaryote. RNAcentral's name for it is "partial 18S ribosomal RNA". It matches the Rfam family "Eukaryotic small subunit ribosomal RNA", at positions 1470 to 1796 of the family's 1831-position model. The record is from RNAcentral.